This 70-nucleotide transfer RNA is filed under the name Dipodomys ordii (Ord's kangaroo rat). It matches the Rfam family "tRNA". Rfam says of the family: Transfer RNA (tRNA) molecules are approximately 80 nucleotides in length. Their secondary structure includes four short double-helical elements and three loops (D, anti-codon, and T loops). The record is from Rfam by way of RNAcentral. Lineage: Eukaryota; Metazoa; Chordata; Mammalia; Rodentia; Heteromyidae.
GGGAAGGUGGCUCAGUGGUAGAGUGCUUGCCUUGCAUGCAUGAGGCCCUGGGUUCAAUUCCUGACUACCA